This 460-nucleotide ribosomal RNA is filed under the name uncultured bacterium. RNAcentral describes it as "partial 16S ribosomal RNA". It matches the Rfam family "Bacterial small subunit ribosomal RNA", at positions 338 to 795 of the family's 1533-position model. The record is from RNAcentral.
CCUACGGGGGGCAGCAGUGAGGAAUAUUGGUCAAUGGACGAGAGUCUGAACCAGCCAAGUAGCGUGAAGGAUGACUGCCCUAUGGGUUGUAAACUUCUUUUAUAUGGGAAUAAAAUGUUCCACGUGUGGGAUUUUGUAUGUACCAUAUGAAUAAGGAUCGGCUAACUCCGUGCCAGCAGCCGCGGUAAUACGGAGGAUCCGAGCGUUAUCCGGAUUUAUUGGGUUUAAAGGGAGCGUAGGUGGAUUGUUAAGGCAGUUGUGAAAGUUUGCGGCUCAACCGUAAAAUUGCAGUUGAAACUGGCAGUCUUGAGUACCGUAGAGGUGGGCGGAAUGCGUGGUGUAGCGGUGAAAUGCUUAGAUAUCACGAAGAACUCCGAUUGCGAAGGCAGUUCACUGGACUGCAACUGACACUGAGGCUCGAAAGUGUGGGUAUCAAACAGGAUUAGAUACCCUUGUAGUC